Molecule: ribosomal RNA, 508 nt
Filed under: Acinetobacter sp. secA
Lineage: Bacteria; Pseudomonadati; Pseudomonadota; Gammaproteobacteria; Moraxellales; Moraxellaceae
Description: bacterial SSU rRNA
Rfam family: Bacterial small subunit ribosomal RNA
Source: RNAcentral
AUAUUGGACAAUGGGCGCAAGCCUGAUCCAGCCAUGCCGCGUGUGUGAAGAAGGCCUUUUGGUUGUAAAGCACUUUAAGCGAGGAGGAGGCUACUUAGAUUAAUACUCUAGGAUAGUGGACGUUACUCGCAGAAUAAGCACCGGCUAACUCUGUGCCAGCAGCCGCGGUAAUACAGAGGGUGCGAGCGUUAAUCGGAUUUACUGGGCGUAAAGCGUGCGUAGGCGGCUUCUUAAGUCGGAUGUGAAAUCCCUGAGCUUAACUUAGGAAUUGCAUUCGAUACUGGGAAGCUAGAGUAUGGGAGAGGAUGGUAGAAUUCCAGGUGUAGCGGUGAAAUGCGUAGAGAUCUGGAGGAAUACCGAUGGCGAAGGCAGCCAUCUGGCCUAAUACUGACGCUGAGGUACGAAAGCAUGGGGAGCAAACAGGAUUAGAUACCCUGGUAGUCCAUGCCGUAAACGAUGUCUACUAGCCGUUGGGGCCUUUGAGGCUUUAGUGGCGCAGCUAACGCGA